Molecule: long non-coding RNA, 329 nt
Organism: Cucurbita maxima (winter squash)
Lineage: Eukaryota; Viridiplantae; Streptophyta; Magnoliopsida; Cucurbitales; Cucurbitaceae
Exons: 2
Source: RefSeq, a predicted model, not a curated record
AGGUAUUUGACUCGCACAUUCCAUAAUGCCUUAUUUAUAGGAAAAUUCUCAAUUAGCUUAGUCAAGUGGACACUUGAAGAUUCAAUAAAGUUUCGGGAAGUCUACGAUCAGGUGAAAAGUAGAUCUAGAUCGGUGGCGGGAACGUGUGGAGGCAUGCAGCUAUAGAAGGGGCCCUUAGAUUGAGUCCUCUUCUCCCAUGUCGUUUUGGUUAUGAUUUUGAUGUUUUUGGAAAAACACGCGAUAUUUUGCAACUAUUUCCUUUUGAUGUGACUCCGCGGGUUCUCGUUAUGUGUUUUGUAGUAAUUUUGAUAUUUUGAAAUGUAUAUCAG